This 446-nucleotide long non-coding RNA is filed under the name Pelobates cultripes (western spadefoot toad). Lineage: Eukaryota; Metazoa; Chordata; Amphibia; Anura; Pelobatidae. The record is from RNAcentral.
CGAACAAAGUCCCGAAUUGCGUCCUAACACGAAUGGAGAAACUGUUGUCAUUCUGUUAGGACGCAAUUCGGCAGUUUUGCCGGCGUUCUCUCUAAGUGACAGGACGUUCGGCAAUACUGACAGGAAGCAUUGUGGGAACAGGGAGGAAAGCUAAGGAUCAUGGGAAAAUUGCUCUGACCAGCGGAAAUGAAGCACACUUUGCUCCUCCGCUGGUCAUGGCGCAGGAAACCUCCAGAAGAGAAAUAGUCCCCUACUGUGUCUUAUAUUUUAAAGAAAACUAGAGCAGGCAGGAAGAAAUGAAUAACCGAUCCUGAAAGAGGGAGAGAAGAGGAAUCGAUUGGGGAAAGGUAAGUUCGGCAUGACAGUGCCACUUUAAUCUGUGAUAAUGCGCCAUUUUCAAUGCAGUGUCAGCUGCAACAGAGCUGUGCUUACUGUUUUUACUAGGG